GCCGGGGCUCUGCGGGUGGCGGCAUGGUUUAUUGUCUGGGCUGUGGACAUAUUUUCACAUGCGUGUCAGAACUCAACAAGCCGUGUCCUUGAAGACAUGCGGUGUAUUAUAUGACAACAAUGCCUUGGUCGAGCCAAAGGGGGACAGACAGCAAACACGUUGAUGUAAAGAUCCUCUAUAAAAUGCGCUUAGAAGAAAGUGACCGUCUUCGGCUAGCUCGACUUGGGGCUCGGGUGUCGUUCCCAGGGCUGGGGUGGCGGGCGUCCCUCAGCGGCCUGCAGGCGUCCCUGGGACUGUCACUCACCGGCCGCUGCUGCCGAAGCCUUGACCCUGCCACGUCUCUCACGCCCCACGGAUUCACGACCAAUGUCAGUUUGUACUUUAUCAUUCUGCCCAAGAAGUCCUCACCAAAGCCAAGGUCAGAAGACAUCCUUCUGUGACUUCCUCCAGAAUCUCAAUUUGCAUGUGUGUCCCUCCCCCCAUCUCGGUCUGUGACCCACUUUGAGUCGGUCUGUGUGUGCCAUAACACAAAGACCACAGUCCCUCAUGUCCACACAGACACUGGAUGCCACAGCGCCACGGACUGAAAGUGUUUCUAUCUCCCCAUUCCAGUGCCCGUGUGAUGCUUAAUGGUCCUCCAUCAGGCAUGACCUCACCUGUAAGGUUUCUGCAAACGGCUUUAUCAGAUUGGGACCUUCCACUUCCAGUUUGCAAGUAGUUCUUUAAAAAAAUCACAAACAGGCUCGA
Callorhinus ursinus (northern fur seal) is the source of this 747-nucleotide non-coding RNA. The record is from RefSeq and is a predicted model, not a curated record. NCBI's taxonomy places the organism in Eukaryota, Metazoa, Chordata, Mammalia, Carnivora, Otariidae.